AAAUUUGUUGUAUAUUCAAGUCCGGCUUUUGUGCAAUUUUGGUGAUGACCGGAACAGAAAUAAAGAUAUUUUAAAAACUGGCCGUGGCCUCACGAUAAAACUUUCUACAAAUGAUCUCUGUUUCAUGUACUUUUAUUUGAUAUCUUAGGUAUAAGCGUAAAAAUAGGGGCUCAUACAGUUUGAGAGGUUGUAAAAUGCAUGACUUGCAUCUAUUUUCAUGUAAACAUUCGAAAUUCUUCGACAGGAAAGUAGCAAGUCUAGCAACUGUUUCAGAUCGAAUGCACACGGACAGCCCACCAGAGACAAUAGCAGGGUACUGAAAUAGAACGUCACUAAAAAAUUCUGUAUGAUUAAUUUAGAUCAUGUCAACUCUUUCAACAUAAAACAGUCGUUUAUUUUGUACAAACAUUUGGCAAUAUUUACACGAUUGUGCCUUUUUGUAAACACGC
This is a non-coding RNA of Paramuricea clavata, 449 nucleotides long. The record is from the annotation of a GenBank genome assembly. Lineage: Eukaryota; Metazoa; Cnidaria; Anthozoa; Malacalcyonacea; Plexauridae.